Molecule: ribosomal RNA, 715 nt
Filed under: uncultured Clavaria
Lineage: Eukaryota; Fungi; Basidiomycota; Agaricomycetes; Agaricales; Clavariaceae
Description: eukaryotic LSU rRNA
Rfam family: 5.8S ribosomal RNA (bases 282-435)
Source: RNAcentral
CUUGGUCAUUUAGAGGAAGUAAAAGUCGUAACAAGGUUUCCGUAGGUGAACCUGCGGAAGGAUCAUUAUUGAUUUUUAAAGAUGUGCUGGCACUCCUUCACCGGUUUGCAUGUGCACUCUGCAAAAUCUCCUUCUCUUACCCCACUGUGCACACCCAAGUAGACAAACAGAGUUACAGAGCAAUCUGUGUAAUUCCUGAUUUGCCUAUGUUUUUAUCAAACACCAAUAACAAUAUCAGAAUGAUCUAUAUAGUAAGCUUUUAACAAGCUGAAAUUUAAUACAACUUUCAACAAUGGAUCUCUUGGUUCUCGCAUCGAUGAAGAACGCAGCGAAUUGCGAUAUGUAAUGUGAAUUGCAGAAUUCAGUGAAUCAUCGAAUCUUUGAACGCACCUUGCACCCUCUGGCAUUCCGGAGGGUAUGCCUGUUUGAGUGUCAUUAAUCUCUCAACGCAAGAAACUUUGUCUUCUUGUGCUUGGAUAUUGAAGGUUUUGCUGGCGCAAACAACUGUCAGCUCCUUUUAAAUGUAUUAGCAGAGCAGUAUGGGACUGGCCUCGGUUUGAUAAGAAACUUUAUCUAUGCUGUCGCUGGGUUUUCCUCUUUGUGCUCAGCUUCAAAUUGUCUUCGGACUGUCUCUUGAGGCAACAAAAUUUCUAUUGAUCGACCUCAAAUCAGGUAGGACUACCUGCUGAACUUAAGCAUAUCAAUAAGCGGAGGA